UACGUAGGGUGCAAGCGUUGUCCGGAAUUAUUGGGCGUAAAGAGCUCGUAGGCGGUUCGUCGCGUCGGCUGUGAAAACCCGGAGCUCAACUCCGGGCCUGCAGUCGAUACGGGCGGACUUGAGUGUUGCAGGGGAGACUGGAAUUCCUGGUGUAGCGGUGAAAUGCGCAGAUAUCAGGAGGAACACCGGUGGCGAAGGCGGGUCUCUGGGCCGAUACUGACGCUGAGGUGCGAAAGCGUGGGGAGCAAACAGG
RNAcentral lists this ribosomal RNA (253 nucleotides) under uncultured bacterium. Its description in RNAcentral is "partial 16S ribosomal RNA". It matches the Rfam family "Bacterial small subunit ribosomal RNA", at positions 524 to 776 of the family's 1533-position model. The record is from RNAcentral.